Molecule: ribosomal RNA, 497 nt
Filed under: uncultured bacterium
Lineage: Bacteria
Description: partial 16S ribosomal RNA
Rfam family: Bacterial small subunit ribosomal RNA
Source: RNAcentral
GAUGAACGCUGGCGGCGUGCCUAAUACAUGCAAGUCGAGCGAACAGACGAGGAGCUUGCUCCUCUGACGUUAGCGGCGGACGGGUGAGUAACACGUGGAUAACCUACCUAUACGACUGGGAUAACUUCGGGAAACCGGAGCUAAUACCGGAUAAUAUAUUGAACCGCAUGGUUCAAUAGUGAAAGACGGUUUUGCUGUCACUUAUAGAUGGAUCCGCGCCGCAUUAGUUAGUUGGUAAGGUAACGGCUUACCAAGGCAACGAUGCGUAGACGACCUGAGAGGGUGGACGGCCAGACGGGAACUGAGACACGGUCCAGACUCCUACGGGAGGCAGCAGUAGGGAAUCUUACGCAAUGGGCGAAAGCCUGACGGAGCAACGCCGCGUGAGUGAUGAAGGUCUUCGGAUCGUAAAACUCUGUUAGUAGGGAAGAACAAAUGUGUAAGUAACUAUGCACGUCUUGACGGUACCGAAUCAGAAAGCCACGGCUAACUACGUG